RNAcentral lists this ribosomal RNA (468 nucleotides) under uncultured bacterium. RNAcentral describes it as "partial 16S ribosomal RNA". It matches the Rfam family "Bacterial small subunit ribosomal RNA", at positions 28 to 507 of the family's 1533-position model. The record is from RNAcentral.
GACGAACGCUGGCGGCGUGCUUAACACAUGCAAGUCGAACGGAAAGGCCCUGCUUUUGUGGGGUGCUCGAGUGGCGAACGGGUGAGUAACACGUGAGUAACCUGCCCUUGACUUUGGGAUAACUUCAGGAAACUGGGGCUAAUACCGGAUAGGAGCUCCUGCUGCAUGGUGGGGGUUGGAAAGUUUCGGCGGUUGGGGAUGGACUCGCGGCUUAUUAGCUUGUUGGUGGGGUAGUGGCUUACCAAGGCUUUGACGGGUAGCCGGCCUGAGAGGGUGACCGGCCACAUUGGGACUGAGAUACGGCCCAGACUCCUACGGGAGGCAGCAGUGGGGAAUAUUGCACAAUGGGCGGAAGCCUGAUGCAGCAACGCCGCGUGCGGGAUGACGGCCUUCGGGUUGUAAACCGCUUUCGCCUGUGACGAAGCGUGAGUGACGGUAAUGGGUAAAGAUGCACCGGCUAACUACGUG